GAUCUCAAAUCAGGUAGGACUACCCGCUGAACUUAAGCAUAUCAUA
This 46-nucleotide ribosomal RNA is filed under the name Rhodotorula glutinis. Its description in RNAcentral is "partial 26S ribosomal RNA". The record is from RNAcentral. Lineage: Eukaryota; Fungi; Basidiomycota; Microbotryomycetes; Sporidiobolales; Sporidiobolaceae.